UUACACAUGCAAGUCGAACGAUGAACCUGGAGCUUGCUCUAGGGGAUUAGUGGCGAACGGGUGAGUAACACGUGAGUAACCUGCCCUUGACUCUGGGAUAACCUCCGGAAACGGAAGCUAAUACCGGAUAUGACGCACGGAGGCAUCUCCUGUGCGUGGAAAGAAUUUCGGUCAAGGAUGGACUCGCGGCCUAUCAGGUAGUUGGUGAGGUAACGGCCCACCAAGCCUACGACGGGUAGCCGGCCUGAGAGGGUGACCGGCCACACUGGGACUGAGACACGGCCCAGACUCCUACGGGAGGCAGCAGUGGGGAAUAUUGCACAAUGGGCGCAAGCCUGAUGCAGCAACGCCGCGUGAGGGACGACGGCCUUCGGGUUGUAAACCUCUUUUAGUAGGGAAGAAGCGAAAGUGACGGUACCUGCAGAAAAAGCACCGGCUAACUACGUGCCAGCAGCCGCGGUAAUACGUAGGGUGCAAGCGUUGUCCGGAAUUAUUGGGCGUAAAGAGCUCGUAGGCGGUUUGUCGCGUCUGCUGUGAAAACCCGAGGCUCAACCUCGGGCCUGCAGUGGGUACGGGCAGACUAGAGUGCGGUAGGGGAGAUUGGAAUUCCUGGUGUAGCGGUGGAAUGCGCAGAUAUCAGGAGGAACACCGAUGGCGAAGGCAGAUCUCUGGGCCGUAACUGACGCUGAGGAGCGAAAGCGUGGGGAGCGAACAGGAUUAGAUACCCUGGUAGUCCACGCCGUAAACGUUGGGAACUAGAUGUGGGGACCAUUCCACGGUCUCCGUGUCGCAGCUAACGCAUUAAGUUCCCCGCCUGGGGAGUACGGCCGCAAGGCUAAAACU
Molecule: ribosomal RNA, 843 nt
Filed under: Leifsonia sp.
Lineage: Bacteria; Bacillati; Actinomycetota; Actinomycetes; Micrococcales; Microbacteriaceae
Description: bacterial SSU rRNA
Rfam family: Bacterial small subunit ribosomal RNA
Source: RNAcentral